ACGGGAGGCAGCAGUGGGGAAUAUUGGACAAUGGGGGAAACCCUGAUCCAGCGACGCCGCGUGAGUGAAGAAGUAUUUCGGUAUGUAAAGCUCUAUCAGCAAGGAAGAAAAUGACGGUACUUGACUAAGAAGCUCCGGCUAAAUACGUGUCAGCAGCCGCGGUAGUACGUAUGGAGCAAGCGUUAUCCGGAUUUACUGGGUGUAAAGGGAGCGUAGACGGCAAAGCAAGUCUGAAGUGAAAUCCCGGGGCUCAACCCCGGAACUGCUUUGGAAACUGUUUAGCUAGAGUGCAGGAGAGGUAAGCGGAAUUCCUAGUGUAGCGGUGAAAUGCGUAGAUAUUAGGAGGAACACCAGUGGCGAAGGCGGCUUACUGGACUGUAACUGACGUUGAGGCUCGAAAGCGUGGGGAGCAAACAGGAUUAGAUACCCUGGUA
RNAcentral lists this ribosomal RNA (434 nucleotides) under uncultured Lachnospiraceae bacterium. RNAcentral describes it as "partial 16S ribosomal RNA". It matches the Rfam family "Bacterial small subunit ribosomal RNA", at positions 341 to 792 of the family's 1533-position model. The record is from RNAcentral. Lineage: Bacteria; Bacillati; Bacillota; Clostridia; Lachnospirales; Lachnospiraceae.